GAGCGGAAAGCAGGCCUUGGUAUCUCAACUUGCACCAAGGGCUAUAUAUAGAGAUACUCAAAUCCAUUAGUCUCCUGAGCUGUUUGUAUUUGCCAGUUCCCUCAUAAUCACAAUCUGACACAUUUGGUAAAGGAAGUUACAGUGUGCAUACUAAUACAGCCCAUUUUAAUAUUUGCUCUCUCUGCAAGAUCAAGUACUAAUUUAGACACUCAAAAUAGCUCCCUGAACAAACCUGUUUUUCUCCAAUGACUUUACACAGAAUCUAAGGAGACUGGGCACUUAAUUUACGUGUUGAAAGUGCAAAUGCUGCUUAUGCAUAUAAUGAAUGUAUAUAUGUUGUGUUACAGAGGUAAAAACUGACCUGACCUGGAGCCCCAGUCAAGAUUUUUCAAGAAAGCAACUGCUUUGGACAUUUCUGUGACCAGACUGGAAAAGAGAACGGGUAUAUUCAUUUGAGCUCUGACCACCCCAUGGAUGCAUACCAGGUACUGCCAGCCCCACUGAGUGAAACCCAGUGGGGUUUCAGUCUCCAGCUGACACUAUACUCUCAGUCUGAAAGCCUGGUGACCUGGGAUGAUUGCUAUUUAGGAGAGGACGUUUAAGAAAAACAGCUGUACUCACAGUGCUCAAAGGACCACUCCCAUAGCUGGACGGACCAGCCAGCAGAAACAUUUGACCACACUGCUUUCCUCCAGUCCUGCUCCUCAACGCUCCCUGCCUGGCCAUUCAUGUGCAAAGUGGAAAGUCUGGCAAACGCUGCUCUGCUCACCCAGUGCUACACGGAGCUCCCCUUUCCUUGCAAAGGCUGCCCAAGAAACCCGAGCAAACAGGGCUGUGGCAGCCUACAUCAAGAGGAAGCUGGGAGGCCAACCCUGCCUGCCUCACGGCUAGGGGCAUCCGACGAGGUCCUGCGGCGCCAGAGUUCCCCACACUGUUUGAAUUCCUUUCUAAAUAUAGCAGAUUCUUUCUCAGAGAUUUCGUACUUAAACUGUCAUUUAGUACUUACAUGAUGGGCACCAUUAUUCAUCUGGAAAAAACAAUUUGCUUCCAUAAUGAUCAAAUUCUCCUCCCUUCAGAUUUUGACCUCAAAAACUAGACAGUGGCCAUUUGUGCAUGGUUUCUAAUAUUACAGUAACCCAAGCAGUAAACAUCAGCUUAAGUUGAGACAAUGGAGCUUUGUGAUUGAGUUCUGUAAUGUUUAGGCUCCAGCUGGCUCACAAGCAAGCUUGGGUAUUACUAUAGCAUCUUCUCUUACUUCAAUAUCCUGUUCAGUGAUCACAGCUGGAAAGGAAACUUUUGCUGUCGUGUGAAUUAUGUUUGAACAUAGAAAAAGUGUUCGCAUUCCACAUCAGGAAAGGUCCUUCAACAGACUGGCUAGCACUUAUAAAUACAGCUGUGUGGGAUGUGAGAAAUCAAGGCUCAGGUCACUGCUGCCAUCCCUCCAUACUCAAGGUGAGUGGCUGAGCUGGCCAUUCACUGGCAAACUCAACCUGGAUUGCAGCAGGUGAAACUUCCCACUAUGACCAGGAAAGAUAACAGAACUUAAUAGUGUCUGACUGUAGCCCAGCAGGCCUUCCUUCUCACUUUUUAAAGUUCACUGUCUGACCAAAAAAAAAAAAAAAAAAAAAAACCACCUUCAUUACAUUUCUCACGAUCAGUCUCACAAGUUUUUUGAGGUACUCGGGUGAACAACAGAACAGCAGCAGGUACAGCAAACAGAAACUAGAGCUGCCCAGCUCAGACCAGCUAUGCAAGAAAGGGCAAGGAACUGGACCCAGCCCAAAGGGGAAUAGUGCCGAUAGCAUCAAGUGAAAGUUGGCUACAAAAAGAAUUGGGAAUAACAGUUUUAAUAAAACUGGAUGAGGAUGGGUUUUUGAGUGGUUUUACUUUUUCGAGCAGAGGAUUAAGUAACUUACUAGUUGGGUAACAGUAAAUAGGCUAGAAAGACUAGUUUGGUCUGAGAUAGACUGGGCCAACUGAUUUCAUGCUUUAAAACGCUUAGGUUGCCUUGUUUUAAUGGCACAUUUAUCUGUUUGUAGUCAGUUCAGUUAUAACCUU
Molecule: long non-coding RNA, 2058 nt
Organism: Dromaius novaehollandiae (emu)
Lineage: Eukaryota; Metazoa; Chordata; Aves; Casuariiformes; Dromaiidae
Exons: 3
Source: RefSeq, a predicted model, not a curated record